UACGUAGGGUGCAAGCGUUGUCCGGAAUUAUUGGGCGUAAAGAGCUCGUAGGCGGUUUGUCGCGUCUGUUGUGAAAACUCGGGGCUUAACUCCGGGCCUGCAGUGGGUACGGGCAGACUAGAGUGCGGUAGGGGAGACUGGAAUUCCUGGUGUAGCGGUGAAAUGCGCAGAUAUCAGGAGGAACACCGGUGGCGAAGGCGGGUCUCUGGGCCGUAACUGACGCUGAGGAGCGAAAGCGUGGGGAGCGAACAGG
This 253-nucleotide ribosomal RNA is filed under the name uncultured bacterium. RNAcentral describes it as "partial 16S ribosomal RNA". It matches the Rfam family "Bacterial small subunit ribosomal RNA", at positions 524 to 776 of the family's 1533-position model. The record is from RNAcentral.